AAGUCGUAACAAGGUUUCCGUAGGUGAACCUGCGGAAGGAUCAUUAUUGAAUGAACUUGGCUUGGUUGCUGCUGGUCUUUUCGAAGACAUGUGCACGCCAUGUCAUCUUUAUAUCUCCACCUGUGCACCUUUUGUAGACCUGGAUUCCAUUUUCCGAGGUAACUCGGUCGUGAGGAACUGCUUAACGGCUUUCCUUGUUAGUUUUCCAGGCCUAUGUUUUCAUAUACACCAUACGAAUGUAACAGAAUGUCAUUAUUAGGCUUAAUUGUCUUAUAAACUAUAUACAA
Molecule: unclassified non-coding RNA, 287 nt
Filed under: plant metagenome
Description: partial contains small subunit ribosomal RNA and internal transcribed spacer 1
Rfam family: Eukaryotic small subunit ribosomal RNA (bases 1-46)
Source: RNAcentral